Eumeta japonica is the source of this 72-nucleotide non-coding RNA. NCBI's taxonomy places the organism in Eukaryota, Metazoa, Arthropoda, Insecta, Lepidoptera, Psychidae. The record is from the annotation of a GenBank genome assembly.
GGCGAUGCAGCUCAGUGGUACACCAUUCGCUUUGCACAUGAAAAGCUCUAGGUUCGAUCUCUAGUAUCUCCG